Long non-coding RNA from Homo sapiens (human), 811 nucleotides. The record is from Ensembl. Lineage: Eukaryota; Metazoa; Chordata; Mammalia; Primates; Hominidae.
ACAGGAUUAUCUCAUUUCUUACAAAAGUUACCCAUGGUGCUGAGAAAACUAGAAACUGGACUGUAGAUGAUGCUUGUUGUGUUUCUACGCAGAAAUUGCAUGGAACUGAACAUGAAUUGCAUUACAAUUGAAACUGUUUCUAAUAUUAUUCACUAAUGGGCAAAUCCAUUACUUUAGGUCCAUUUCUUAUACAAGGAAAUUCAGUUACUCCGAGGACAAUUCAGCUAGCCAAGAGUCCCUGUACAGUGAGCAAUCUUUUGGGGUCUUAUCUUCUCAUCACUGAAGAAUUUCUAUGUGGACACUAAAGUAAUAUUAAAACCACUCACUCUCACAGGUGGCAAGAAGAAAAGUUUAAGAAUUUCAAGUGGCUUGAUUGGACUCUUCUUCAUGGUCGCUGAGUCAAGGACCUUCUCUUCUAGUGAAUUUAAGGGUUUUGUGGAACACUAGUCUUUCUUUAUGAACUCUGUCCUCUUUUCUCAUACAAUUUAUCUUUUCCACAUAUGGAUGGAAAAAAACUGCAGAAAAUAUAAUGAAAUGGAUAACCAUAUAUUUUUUAAAAUAGAAAUUUUUGAGUAUUGACAUUCAAGGUUUUAAUUCUAGAUUUAAAAAUACAUUUUAUUUACACACUCAUCAGUUAAUGGACGCUUGAAUUAUUUUCACUUUUGGUCUAUUAUGAAUAAUGCUACUAUGAACAUUAAUGUAUAAGUAUUUGUGUGAACAAAUAGAACAGACAUGGUCAGUUCUCUUGGGUAUAUUCGUACAAGUAGAAUUUCUGGGUCAUAUGGCAGCUCUAUGUUUGAUUUUAUGCAGA